This 267-nucleotide ribosomal RNA is filed under the name uncultured prokaryote. Its description in RNAcentral is "partial 16S ribosomal RNA". It matches the Rfam family "Bacterial small subunit ribosomal RNA", at positions 526 to 792 of the family's 1533-position model. The record is from RNAcentral.
CGGAGGAUCCGAGCGUUAUCCGGAUUUAUUGGGUUUAAAGGGUGCGCAGGCGGGAGAUUAAGUCGGCGGUGAAAUUUUGCAGCUCAACUGUAAAAGUGCCUUCGAAACUGGUUUCCUUGAGUGUGGAUGAAGUAGGCGGAAUUUGUGGUGUAGCGGUGAAAUGCAUAGAUAUCACGAGGAACUCCGAUUGCGCAGGCAGCUUACUAAACUACUACUGACGCUCAGGCACGAAGGCGUGGGGAUCAAACAGGAUUAGAUACCCUGGUA